Molecule: ribosomal RNA, 253 nt
Filed under: uncultured bacterium
Lineage: Bacteria
Description: partial 16S ribosomal RNA
Rfam family: Bacterial small subunit ribosomal RNA
Source: RNAcentral
UACGGGGGGGGCAAGCGUUGUUCGGAAUUACUGGGCGUAAAGGGCUCGUAGGCGGCCAACUAAGUCAGACGUGAAAUCCCUCGGCUUAACCGGGGAACUGCGUCUGAUACUGGAUGGCUUGAAUCCGGGAGAGGGAUGCGGAAUUCCUGGUGUAGCGGUGAAAUGCGCAGAUAUCAGGAGGAACACCGAUUGCGAAGGCAGCUCGCUGGGACGUCACUGACGCUGAGACGCGAAAGCGUGGGGAGCAAACAGG